GACGAACGCUGGCGGCGUGCCUAAUACAUGCAAGUCGAACGAGAGCGACCGGUGCUUGCACUGGUCAAUCUAGUGGCGAACGGGUGAGUAACACGUGGGUAACCUGCCCAUCAGAGGGGGAUAACAUCCGGAAACGGAUGCUAAAACCGCAUAGGUCUUCGAGCCGCAUGGCUUGAAGAGGAAAAGAGGCGCAAGCUUCUGCUGAUGGAUGGACCCGCGGUGCAUUAGCUAGUUGGUGAGGUAACGGCUCACCAAGGCCGUGAUGCAUAGCCGACCUGAGAGGGUGAACGGCCACAUUGGGACUGAGACACGGCCCAAACUCCUACGGGAGGCAGCAGUAGGGAAUCUUCCGCAAUGGACGCAAGUCUGACGGAGCAACGCCGCGUGAGUGAAGAAGGUUUUCGGAUCGUAAAACUCUGUUGUUAGAGAAGAACAAGUGCUAGAGUAACUGUUAAGCGCCUGGACUUCUCUAACCAGAAAGCCCCG
RNAcentral lists this ribosomal RNA (486 nucleotides) under Granulicatella adiacens. Its description in RNAcentral is "bacterial SSU rRNA". It matches the Rfam family "Bacterial small subunit ribosomal RNA", at positions 28 to 495 of the family's 1533-position model. Lineage: Bacteria; Bacillati; Bacillota; Bacilli; Lactobacillales; Carnobacteriaceae. The record is from RNAcentral.